Long non-coding RNA from Herpailurus yagouaroundi (jaguarundi), 4216 nucleotides. RefSeq lists it as uncharacterized. NCBI's taxonomy places the organism in Eukaryota, Metazoa, Chordata, Mammalia, Carnivora, Felidae. The transcript has 2 exons. The record is from RefSeq and is a predicted model, not a curated record.
GUGAGCGACAAGAUCGGAUUUGUUAUUCAAAAAGCACACUCCGGCAGCAGUUCAGUGGGUGGAAUGGAAAGUGGUUACCCUGGGGACGAGCAGACCCAUUAGGAAGCUGUGACAAUCAUCCAGGAGAGAGAAAAUGAGGAUAGUAGUUGGAGGAAUGAGCAGAUUCAAAGACGUUUUGGAAGCAGAACUGAUGGUCAGGAGAGAUUCACUGGAUACAAACACUGAACAAAAGGAACAAUCAAGAAUGACGGUCAGAUUUCUGGCUUGGACAUCUAGGUGAAUAGUAAAUCAUUAAUCAAGAUGUAGCAUACUAAAGAAGUAGCAGAUUUGCAGAAUAUUAUGCGUACAUAUGGAAUGAGCUGAAUUUGAGGUGCCUCUGGGACUCCCAGGUGAAUAUACCAUAUGUGGUUAAUAUAUUUAGAAUUCAGAAGAGAGAUUAUAUCUAAAGAUUUAAGAGUAAUUGUGAAAUACUCUGUUGUUGAAGUUUUGACAAUCUCCAAAGCUACAAGAUCUGGGUACCAUUGCUUCUACCCAAUUCAUUUGCACCAUCUCUGAAGGAGGUACUAGCUCAAGCUUUGUUCCAAAGUACAAAUUAGCAUAGCAGCUCAGUAAACAAUGUCUCUGAGCUUCUGGAAAGAAAGAUGUUCAGUCACCAUAAGGCUCAGAAUUAAUGAAAAGUCACAGAAAUAAUAGCUCUAUUCUCCAGUUGCUUUUGAACCUCAAAUCACUCUUUGGCAACAAGGUAGAUUGAUAAACUUCAAGGUAAUUAGCAUCUAUAGUUGCUAAGCUGAGAUCUGAGUGACAUUGGUGACCUGCCAAAAGAAACAGUUGGCACCAGACUUUGUGAGUUGCCUUUCAUCAGCAAGCUUCACUUUAAAACACUGAAGUCCACCCCGCCUGUACCUGAAUUUCCCUCUUGAAACAAGUAACUAGUGCCAUCUUUCUCUUGAAUUGGCUGGCACUGCUGUGAUAUCAGUUAUCACGUGAUAUUCCAAAAGGCAAUUGUGAUCUCUGGCAUCAAUGCGUUGGCAAUCCACUUGGAGAAAAUGCAGUUUGAUGUUAAGCGCUUGGCAGUUUUUAUCGUAGCUGGAAUGAACAGAGGGUCCUUAAGGCACCCGGAAUACCACUGAGUACUCUGUAAUGCUACUCAAUGUCGAAACUAGGUGAGAAGUCCCAAAACCUCAGGUUUCACAAAAGCAGAGUUUCAAUUAUCAAAGCUGGCUAGAAUUGGGGAAUCAUCCAAAUUAACCACUAUAUUUUAUAAAUGAAGAAAUCUGUCACCAUUUGUCUGGGCAAAGAAAAAAGGGAUUGGAGCUAGAGUCUUCACUGGCUAAUUUGUUCUGGGAACCAUAGAAGUUAAACGGAUGCUGGACAGACACCAACUAUAUGAGAGACAUCAUGCAUUUUCUAAAUAUGUUGGUGUUCCUCCAUAUAAAUCCAGACUAUUUUGGUAUUGCUUCAUAAGCAAGUAUUCCAACUUAGAAAUGUUGAAAACCAAUAGAGAAGUAACAGAAUGCAGCAGCUCCUCCUUUCCUUUCCUCCUCUCACUAUGUCUGCAUCAGGUACUUCUCUGAUACAGUCUUCACACUGUCAUAAUUGACUAUGACCUUCCAAAAAAAGUCAACAAAGCAACUCACAGCCUACCUGCUGUAGUCUGUAUAAUUCACAUGCUGAAAUCCUAGUCCCCAAUGUGAUGAUAUCAGGAGGUGGGGCUUUGGGGAGGUAAGAAUGAAGCCCUAAUGAAUGGAAUUAGUGCCCUAACAGAAGAGAACCCCGAGAGCUCCCUCACCCCUUCUGCCAUGUGAGCACAAAGAGAGAAGACGGCCAUCUAUAUGAGCAAGGAAGUGGGCUCUCACCAGACACCAAAUCUGCCGGUGCCUUGAUUUUGGACUUGCCAGCCUCCAGAACUGUGAGGAAUAAAUUUCUGCUGUGUAAGCCACAUGCUCUAUGGAAUUUGUUAUAGCAACCUGAGUGGACUAAGACACUAUCCAGGUUUUUCUGAUAAUGUUUUCUCCCCUCUUUCCACCCUGACAGUACAUCUUUCUCAGUUGCCCUGUGUCACUAUCACCAGGCUGCUUUUGACUUAAAUAAUGGCAAGAGUUUAAGGGCUUUUGGGACAAUUAAUAUAUUUUCUAUUGGAUCUGUUUCAAAGACAGAAUAGCAAUUGUCUUAGAGAACAAAAUGGCACAAUCAUCAAAGUUAUGCAGUGGAGGCUUUUCUAUCUCCAGCUCAGAAGCCUUCCCUGCCCAGCUACACUUAGUCACCCUGGAUGCACGCUGCUCCCACAGUUGUCUUCCACUCACAGCUCCAACUGGAUGAAAGAUGAUGGGAAGGGACAUUGCUGGUCCAGGGAGUGACUCUUCCAGAGUGAAGAAAAAGAAAGUGGUUCUGAGAGCACUACCUAAGAAAGAUCUAAAGCUGUUUGGUAUGGCCAGAAGAAUAUGAUUUUCCUGAGUGACCUGUUGAACCAGUCUUAUUACUCUGUAGUCUCAAUAUAUAGAGCUGGAUCAUAAUUCCUCUCCCAGUACCAGGACAAGUGGGUGGGACUGUCUAACUCUCUAUCCCUCCUUCUACUCUUCAAACUGCAAGAUACUAUUUUGUGUGUCUUUUCUUUUUUGAAGGCUUCCCUUGAUGCUCAGCAUAACCUGAGCUCACCUGGAUAAAGGCAUGGUUUAGGAGAGGGUACCCGGAGAAACAGUGCCCUGGGUCCAGAGCUUCCAGGACAGGGCCAGGCGGCAAAGCUUAAUAAGGAAAGACUCGUCUGAUAUAAAUAAUUUAAGAGACAGAAUUCACAGUGGCCUGAAUAGAAAGUGAAAAUGCAAGCAUGCUGCUUCUCAUGGAUGGCAAAAAACACUGGCAUGAAAAGUCUUGUUUUCUGGUUAAUGAAUUAAAGAAAUAAUCACAAAUGGGAUAUAGAUCCAAGUGACCACAUCAUGAUUCACUCAUUUGUCCAUGAUGAAUAAAUUAUCUGUUUUAUGACUGAGUCAUUCCCCAAUGUGACAUUAAAGUACCGAAAAUUGUUAGGGAUUGUUCUUUCUAGAGAAAGAUGAUGCUACUGAGCCACCAAUAAUGCUCAAGUGAGCUCAGUGAGAAAAGAUUUGCAACAUAACAGAUGAGAACUAUUUGCAUGUGCUGAUCUAUAUUUAUGAAUCAGAGAACAUCCCAGGGGAGUUUUAGCUUCACUAGUAGGGGUUUUCAAUCCUCAUCUCUAUCACAGCAAUUCCCAUACUGUUACACACAAGAAGGAAUACACAGGUUUGAUGAAACUCAAAAAUAACUAGUGUUUGAUGCUUCCUCUCCCAUCUUUAAAAAAAAAAAAAAGCCAGUUUUGCCAUGGCAAUCCUUUAAAAAAAGAAUUACAAUUGCGUUAGAGAUAAAAUCAGAUAUUGAAAUAGCACACACACACAUACAUACAACCUAUUGUAUCAAGACACACAAAGAAAAGGGAAAUAUUAUGACUAAUUUUUAAACUAAAUAUUUUCAAAAAGAUUCUCAAUAUGUCUAUAUUGCCAUUCUCUAGGUAAUAAUAAACUGAACAAAUACGUGGUAUGACAGCAGCAGAAGUGAAAUGCAUUUUACCAGUAAAAUUUUACCUGGGGUGAGGUGGGGGGAGUAAACUGAUGUGUCUAAGAGGAAGUAUCUUGUGUCUCAUCUGCCAUAAAGGAUAACUACAAAAUCUCUAUCUAAAAGAAAAAAAGAGAAAAAAACAAAAACAAAAACAAAAACACUAAACGUUACAAAUGGAAACCAGUGAAGCCAGGACUUGAAGUUUCUAGAUCCUGAAUCCUUGAAGAUUGAGUCUUGAUUGCAGAAAGAAGGGAAAUACUUUGAGGUGAGCCCCACAAGCCCUCGGGGAGUAGGCUGGGUUUUGGCAUAGAGCAUGGAAGCAAAACAGAAAACAGUGGCAUAGGGUUUAUAGUGCUCUCACUGCACUGUAGAGAUAAAAAUCAAAGUUUUAAUUGAGGAAAUUGGAAAAUCUUUGGAAAUGAGUGACAUGUGUGCAAUGUAGGAAGAGUAGUGCUUAAAGAGGAAAUUUUAAAGCCUUAAAUACAUCCACUAGAAGAGGGAGAAAAAAGCUAAAAAUCACACAUGUUAAAAUAUAGUAAAAGGAGAUCAUGAACAACUUUAUAUUAAUUAACUUCAUACAUUAAAUUCCUUGAAAAAAGCAUUACUUACCAAAAUUGAUACAAAUAAAUAAAAAAUCUGAAUGAUGCCA